RNAcentral lists this long non-coding RNA (1605 nucleotides) under Mytilus galloprovincialis (Mediterranean mussel). The record is from RNAcentral. Lineage: Eukaryota; Metazoa; Mollusca; Bivalvia; Mytilida; Mytilidae.
CUUUUUUGGACCGUUUCAGAUCAAACAAGGAAGAAGUUUAGUGAAACGAUAUGGGGUUAUCUUUACUUGUCUCUCCAUCCGUGCCGUUCACUUGGAAACCGCACAUUCUAUGGAUACAGAUUCUUGUAUAAACGCAAUCAGACGUUUGAUAUCUCGCAGAGGAAAGCCAGAAUUCAUAUUAAGAUCAGAUAACGGAACAAAUCUAGUUGGAGCAGAAAGAGAAAUGAGAGAAGAAAUAGAAAGAUGGAACAUAGACAAGAUAAAUAAUUUCAUGCUUCAGAAAAGUAUAAAAUGGGCAUUCAACCCUCCUGCCGCGUCACACUUUGGAGGCGUGUGGGAGAGAUUAAUAAGAUCAGUAAGAAAGGUGUUAUAUUCUGUCAUGCAAGAGCAGAGUCUUCGAUUGAACGAUGAAAAUCUGAAUACAUUGUUUUGUGAAGUGGAAGCAAUCUUGAAUAACCGUCCGAUUUCUGAAGUAUCUGAACACGUAGACGAUUUAAAGGUCCUUACUCCGAACCAUCUUCUCUUAUUAAGACCUGGCGAAUACUUUCCUCCAGGAACUUUUUGUAAAACAGACAAUUACGUAAGAAGACGUUGGCGACAAAUACAAUAUCUAGCAGACAUUUUCUGGAAGAGAUGGACUCAUGAGUAUUUGCCUUUAUUACAAAGUAGGCAAAAGUGGAACUCUGAAAAGCGAAACUUGAAAAUAGGAGACAUUGUAUUGAUCCAGGAUAAUACACCGAGGAAUCUUUGGAACUUAGGAAGAAUCAUUGAAGUACUAAAGGACAAGUCAGACAAUGUUCGUAUAGUGAGGCUAAAAACAUAUUCAACAACAUUAUUACGACCAGUCGCAAAGUUGUGUUUGGUAUUAGAAGCUGAUAUUUAGAGUCAUAGUUUGAACUAGUCAUGUUAGAACAGUAACUUGUGUUUGAAAAGUACUUUGUUGUAUAAAUGGACUAUAUAAAGGUUUAGUUUAUUGAUUGUCACUUAAAUUGGGAAAUUAUUUGGCCUUAUUAUAAUUUUUGAUAAUUGAGUUCUUUAAGACCACAAUUAAGGGGCUGGAAUGUAGCGGCCAAAUUUGAGAACAAAAACCAUUGUUGCCUAUUGUUGUAUUUUUUGGUAAUUAGUGAUAUUCUAUUUUGAGACAAGUUACUUUCCCUUUACUUUAAUGAACCCCUUCAGGGAAUUUGCACGAAACGUGCUUGGUGAAAAUCUUUGAUUAUGAUGAAAAUAAGGAAUACCAGAGUCAACCAAUAUGGUAUGUUUCUUUUAUUUAUUGCAGAUAAAUUAUCUUUCAUGUUUAAAGUUAGAAAUUUUGAGUUUAAUUGAUGUAAAACCGAUGAAAGUUGACCUUGAUAAUUUGGCAAUUAUUUAACGUAAAUGUUCAUGAUAAUACUUUUUUGAAAGAGAACAAGUGUAUGUUACUACCGUAAAUGUUAUGAUAGAUGCACUUUUGUAUUGUAUUAUAAUUCACAAAAUGUUAGUUUUGAUAGUAGAAUUUAGUGUGUUUUAUCUUUUAUUUUGUAGUUAAUCUUUUCGUACCUGAAUAAAGAGAUUUGAACGGAAGGAAUUAGUAUUUAUUUGGUAUAGACAUCAUACUAUUUGAUA